Molecule: transfer RNA, 61 nt
Filed under: Ictidomys tridecemlineatus (thirteen-lined ground squirrel)
Lineage: Eukaryota; Metazoa; Chordata; Mammalia; Rodentia; Sciuridae
Description: Spermophilus tridecemlineatus (thirteen-lined ground squirrel) tRNA
Rfam family: tRNA
About the family: Transfer RNA (tRNA) molecules are approximately 80 nucleotides in length. Their secondary structure includes four short double-helical elements and three loops (D, anti-codon, and T loops). Further hydrogen bonds mediate the characteristic L-shaped molecular structure. tRNAs have two regions of fundamental functional importance: the anti-codon, which is responsible for specific mRNA codon recognition, and the 3' end, to which the tRNAs corresponding amino acid is attached (by aminoacyl-tRNA synthetases). tRNAs cope with the degeneracy of the genetic code in two manners: having more than one tRNA (with a specific anti-codon) for a particular amino acid; and 'wobble' base-pairing, i.e. permitting non-standard base-pairing at the 3rd anti-codon position.
Source: Rfam by way of RNAcentral
UGUGGCUCAGAGGUAGAGCACUUGCCUAGCAUGCAUGAGGAACUGGGUUCAAUCCUCAGCA